CCUACGGGGGGCAGCAGUAGGGAAUUUUCGUCAAUGGGCGCAAGCCUGAACGAGCAAUGCCGCGUGAACGAGGAAGGUCUUCGGAUCGUAAAGUUCUGUUGACGGGGAAAAAGAGCGGAGAGAGGAAAUGAACUCCGAUUGAUAUUACCCUUCGAGGCAGUCACGGCUAACUACGUGCCAGCAGCCGCGGUAAUACGUAGGUGGCGAGCGUUAUCCGGAAUGAUUGGGCGUAAAGGGUGCGUAGGCGGCCUGCUAAGUCUGGUGUGAAAGGUACCGGCUCAACCGGUACAGGCUCUGGAAACUGGCGGGCUAGAGAGCAGGAGAGGGCGGUGGAACUCCAUGUGUAGCGGUAAAAGGCGUAGAUAUAUGGAAGAACACCAGUGGCGAAGGCGGCCGCCUGGGCUGUUACUGACGCUGAGGCACGAAAGCGUGGGGAGCAAAUAGGAUUAGAUACCCCGGUAGUC
RNAcentral lists this ribosomal RNA (464 nucleotides) under uncultured bacterium. RNAcentral describes it as "partial 16S ribosomal RNA". It matches the Rfam family "Bacterial small subunit ribosomal RNA", at positions 338 to 795 of the family's 1533-position model. The record is from RNAcentral.